RNAcentral lists this long non-coding RNA (273 nucleotides) under Elaeis guineensis (African oil palm). Its description in RNAcentral is "long non-coding RNA (EGUI_LNC013292)". Lineage: Eukaryota; Viridiplantae; Streptophyta; Magnoliopsida; Arecales; Arecaceae. The record is from RNAcentral.
GCUAUUCCUGUUGUUUCGUAACAUCUAUCAAAUAAAGCAUAUUGAGCUUUUGGCUGCAUUUGGGAGAAAACUCCCCAAUAUUCCUGAUACCUCUAAAUUAGUUGAGGCAAAUGCGAAUGGACAGUAGACAUAUUCCAAACUUGAGCACCACAAGAACACCGGGCCAAGACAUGAUCCACAUUUUCUUUAAUUCAUAUCUUGUUACUUUUUCUAUUUGCAUGAACCAUCCAUUCAUAUGUUAUAUGCUGAACGAUGCAAUUAUAGCAAUUUGAC